UGGGGAAUUGUUCACAAUGGGCGCAAGCCUGAUGACGCAACGCCGCGUGGGGGAUGAAGGUCUUCGGAUUGUAAACCCCUGUCGAAUGGGACGAAAGACUCGCGAGUUAAUACUUCGCGGGAGUGACGGUACCGUUAAAGGAAGCCACGGCUAACUCUGUGCCAGCAGCCGCGGUAAUACAGAGGUGGCAAGCGUUGUUCGGAAUUACUGGGCGUAAAGGGCGCGUAGGCGGCCUACUAAGUCAGACGUGAAAUCCCCCGGCUUAACCUGGGAACUGCGUCUGAUACUGGAAGGCUUGAGUAUGGGAGAGGGAUGUAGAAUUCCAGGUGUAGCGGUGAAAUGCGUAGAUAUCUGGAGAAUACCGGUGGCGAAGGCGGCAUCCUGGACCAUUACUGACGCUGAGGCGCGAAAGCGUGGGGAGCGAAACAGGAUUAGAUACCCCCGUAGUCCCUGAGCGGGCUGGCAAGGCGCAU
RNAcentral lists this ribosomal RNA (473 nucleotides) under uncultured bacterium. Its description in RNAcentral is "bacterial SSU rRNA". It matches the Rfam family "Bacterial small subunit ribosomal RNA", at positions 355 to 825 of the family's 1533-position model. The record is from RNAcentral.